AGCCCUUGCAAUUCGAGGGCAUAUAACAGCCUGAGCCGAGCAUUUUAAAUUAUUUUACAUCGUGAAGUGUGCUUUUGCUGGUGGUCGUGAAUAUCAUCAAGGAGUUAAGUUUUUAAUCCCUUUGAAUCGGAUGCUGAAGUCCAGCCCACUACUUCCCAAGUUCAGACGCAGAAGAAAAAACGGAGCAAGCCUGCUAAAGCUUCGAAGCCCAAGUUAUCUUCGAAGUCGAAAAAACGCAUUGUUGAGAGCGACUCUGAAUCGGAGACUGAUCGUGCAUCGACAGCUUUACUUGUACUUACUCCUAGAAAACGAAAGGCCCGUCUAUUUUUAGAUUCUUAGGAUGAAGAACGCGAACCUGUGCGAGCAGCAACAUUAAAAAGUUAUAUAUAUUUCACGUCGAACAGGCGCGGGUUACACUCACCUGUUAGAAGAGGAGAAUAUUAUAUAGAAGUCAGAAUAUCAAAUUUCAGGGAGCUAGAGGCAAUUGAAACCAAUCGCUGGCAGCAUUCGUUCAUCAGUUUUAAAACUGCUGUCGAUGAUAAGACGCCAACUCGGAAUGCUCUCAUCUAACUAAUAUCCGUCCGAGAAGAUUACAAAACCGUGCAGCGAAUUCUAUAUCCAGCCAAACGUUAAAACAUAUUAUUUGAUGACAUUUACAUUUUAAGUUUAUAUUAUUUUCUAUUGCAUAGUGUCAUAUGAUAUGAUAUGGGGUCCU
Long non-coding RNA from Hyposmocoma kahamanoa, 715 nucleotides. RefSeq lists it as uncharacterized. The transcript is spliced from 3 exons. The record is from RefSeq and is a predicted model, not a curated record. NCBI's taxonomy places the organism in Eukaryota, Metazoa, Arthropoda, Insecta, Lepidoptera, Cosmopterigidae.